GAUGAACGCUGGCGGCGUGCCUAACACAUGCAAGUCGAACGGAGUUCUUGAGGAAUGCGGCUUCGGCCAAAUGACUUUUGAACUUAGUGGCGGACGGGUGAGUAACGCGUGAGCAACCUGCCUUUCAGAGGGGGAUAACAUUUGGAAACAGAUGCUAAUACCGCAUAAGAUUACAGUACCGCAUGAUACAGUGAUCAAAGGAGCAAUCCGCUGAAAGAUGGGCUCGCGUCCGAUUAGAUAGUUGGUGAGGUAACGGCUCACCAAGUCGACGAUCGGUAGCCGGACUGAGAGGUUGAACGGCCACAUUGGGACUGAGACACGGCCCAGACUCCUACGGGAGGCAGCAGUGGGGGAUAUUGCACAAUGGGGGAAACCCUGAUGCAGCGACGCCGCGUGAGGGAAGACGGUCCUCUGGAUUGUAAACCUCUGUCUUCGGGGACGAAAGAAGACGGUACCCGAGGAGGAAGCCACGGCUAACUACGUGCCAGCAGCCGCGGUAAUACGUAGGUGGCAAGCGUUGUCCGGAAUUACUGGGUGUAAAGGGAGCGUAGGCGGGCAGGCAAGUCAGGCGUGAAAUAUAUCGGCUCAACCGGUAUCUGCGCUUGAAACUGCAGGUCUUGAGU
RNAcentral lists this ribosomal RNA (623 nucleotides) under uncultured Oscillospiraceae bacterium. RNAcentral describes it as "bacterial SSU rRNA". It matches the Rfam family "Bacterial small subunit ribosomal RNA", at positions 28 to 647 of the family's 1533-position model. The record is from RNAcentral. Lineage: Bacteria; Bacillati; Bacillota; Clostridia; Eubacteriales; Oscillospiraceae.